ACACGCUCAUUGCUCAUUGUCUCGGACCUGUGAACUGCAUCGUCUUCAGCGGUGGGAGAGGAAUUUUUUGCGAUGUCUUAACGGUGAUCAAAUUGAUGCGCGCGCACAGCCGGAUGUUGGAAUUUUGCUUGGGAGAUCGGAGAUGAGCGUUUUAUCCAGUUCCCCGAAUUUACUGAGUUUCUCUAGUGUGCUCUGCAUUGCGAUUUGUGAAAGAUUCCCGUUGCUUUUGCUGCAAAAAGCUUACAAUCUAAUAGGGUUACUACCUUUGCUUGUAACUUCGUGGCAUGUAGCUAGCAGGAGCGUAAUGUGAGCAUUUUUGUCUUGUGUAUUUGGGUGUGCGAUCUCAUCAGGUUCCGUAAAUAGUGUGUUGGAUGUUCAGCCACUUGUUGUGAGAUGAAAUUGGAUUCACUUAUCGGAUGUGGAAUGAAGCCUGAGGAAUUUGAAGGCGCUAGAUUUGAGUUGUUACUUAAUAAGUCGAUAUAUUUUGGCUCGACGUUUUGCAAUGUGUUCAAAUCACUCUACAAACUUAAGAAGGCUUCCUUAUACCACACGUGUACCCUCAAUGUCUGUGCUGUUACUGGUUGUCGCUAAUUGGAGCCUUGAUUUAUCUAUGCUUAUGUUUUAGUGUUCAUAAGUCUCAAGACCUUUGGGUUUUGGGUUUAUGAUUUGUAUUUAAUCGAAGCACAUUGAUUCCAAACUAUGUGUAACUUUAUCCCUAAAAAUAUACUAACAACAAUUUUAUAAAAAAAGAGCUAAGGAUUUUAUGCUGUCGCCGCAAUAUUGAAGCUAUUUGCGCGUAGUGUUGUUAAUACCAAUAGAAGCUUCUCAAGCAUUAUAGUUUUCUUUGUAUCCUAAAUUAAUAGUCAUGAACAUCCGUGAACAACUCGUAUUUCAUCUCGCAGCGAAUUCGAAUACGAAUAAUCCAAUGUCAGAAUUUCUAGCGCCAGAUCUUUCCGUUCUCCCUUCAGUUUCUGACGGGGGGAUUUAUUGAAGUUGCAUCUUAAAUUGGCGCUUAGAAUGUUCUCCUCGUCGAUGAUUUCGUCGAUCCAAUCUCACCCUUGCUAUUUAUGCGGUCUAUUUUCUUGUAUUCUGGAGUGCACGCGUUUUCCAUUCCAUACAAGCAUUUCAACAAUUCGUAUCUUGUUAUUUCCUAUAGAGUGUAAACUGAAAACAGAAUCGGUUCCAGAAUUCUACAUGAACUGUAAUAGGUCAUGAGUGAUAUGAAUUCGAGGACGAUGGAGAUGAGUCUCCUCUGGCCGAAAUACAUGGCUAUAGGAGCGAUCAAUCUCUUGUUGAACAGCUGCAAUUGAUCACGAGAUCUCACUGCCUGUAUCCGGCAAUAAUCUGCUUAUUUGUCGGCAUUUGUGCAAUUGUUUUGCAGAAUGACGUUCAUUUCUUAAACUCUGCAAUGAGUACAAUGGAGGACUACGGUUAGUUUCUCCCUGUUCUUCCACGGCAACCUUUGCCAAGUUGUUAAUAGACAACAUCUUGUCCCGUUCUCCCACGUUAUUGCAUUGAGUCUUAACUUGAUUUUGGUUAGGCAUUGCUUGUGUUCAAUAGACCCAUUGUCAGAUUGAUUGGUUACAAGCAUUUUGGAUUGUCAUGAAAUUAUUGGGCAAGUUCGGAUAGCCGCCAGUGAUUCCACUGCAAUUAUCAGCGCUACAUGGUUUCUGUUUUCCUUGUAAUGCCUGUAGGUUUCUGCAUCUUGUCUUGUCAUUGGUUCUUGGUGAUUUCUCAGUAUAAAAGAACAUCAUGAUCAGCUUCCAUGUUAUGUCAGUGAAUCAUCUGUUUCAAGUACUCUGCGAUGCCGCUCACUAGAACCCGGGUCUAGAUGUUGGUUACAAGGACACAUUCAACCUGGCAUUUAAUGAGGCGAUACUGCUGGAGGCCCAUGACAAUCUCUUGGGGAAAUGCUCCUUAGGAAAGCAUGUUGAAGAAGGUAUCUCGAGAACAAUAACGUGGAUCUAAACUUAGGUUUUUCUCAGCUACGUGACAUGCUAUUUGAUAUUUAAAAUGUUUUAAAAGUAAUGUAGAAUGUUUGUAUUUACUGCAGAGCCCAUAUCCAAGCACAUCUGGAAAUUCACAUCUUUACACUUCAUUUUUAUUUGAUUUUAUUUUAUAUUUUUUGACACAAAUAGAGUUACAUCUCUAUUGCAUAUAAUUUGAAAGUUGCAAAUCCCAACCAAGUCCAAUCAAGGUUAUUAGAUAUUUACCUAUA
Molecule: non-coding RNA, 2218 nt
Organism: Physcomitrium patens
Lineage: Eukaryota; Viridiplantae; Streptophyta; Bryopsida; Funariales; Funariaceae
Source: RefSeq, a predicted model, not a curated record